Long non-coding RNA from Scylla paramamosain (green mud crab), 3989 nucleotides. RefSeq lists it as uncharacterized. The record is from RefSeq and is a predicted model, not a curated record. The transcript is spliced from 5 exons. NCBI's taxonomy places the organism in Eukaryota, Metazoa, Arthropoda, Malacostraca, Decapoda, Portunidae.
UCGUAGCAUUAGUCUGUCAUUGAUGAAAACACCCGCACUACAUGUAUUACGUGAUUUCAUUAGUCUCAAGUCGCUAUUUCAAGUCUAUAAUUAUAAGCCUCAAUAAAUACGAGAGCUGUGGUGGUGGCCUGCUUCCCGUCUGCCAAUCAGAGCGUUCUAUUUUUUUUCCGUUUUCUUUCGUAUUCUUCGUAAAGCUUAUGUGUCCUUCAUUUGUCGUUACUUCUUGCCUCACAGUGUAUUGGUAAAUGUCUUCUACUUGUAAUAAUAAUCGUGAUUCUAUUAUUUUGUAUCAUUACAAGUAGUAUUGCGAGAGUGGCUCCGUUCUUAGUGACAAUUACCUCAGCACAGCCUUCACCAAUCAGCGCCAAGUAUUCAAGUCACGUGAUACUCUCUCCUCUCCGUCUCCUCAGCCAUUUGCCCUGCGCCCGCUGACGUGACGAGUCUCCGGUUGUGUUAUGGCGGUGAAACGGUGUUGCGCCUGUCCCUGGCGGGCAUGCUGUGGUGGACUGCGGUGAGGAGGGAGAGGUGGAUGUGACCCAUGAACUACCCCUAACAAUGUGAUGAAGAACCAGAAGUGGGUUGUAGGUGACGAGAUAACUAUCCCAGGUCAUCCCGGAAGUGGCGAGGUGAUCCCAUACAACUCCACAAGGUCGUGGAGGACGCCAGGCAUAGCCACGUGGUCACCUACACUCAGCCAUCCACCUCACCUGCCCUAGACUGCUACCCAGACACGAUCCAGCCACAAGAACCCAGAUAAGCACUUCACGGGUCCUUGGUUGUGGUUAGCUAGCUAGUUUGUUUAGGGGUCACUUGCUGUAGAUAAGAACCCUCCUCGGUCUGCUGCAAUUAUUUUUUUUUUUUUUGUGGUGUAACGCUGUGCUCUACGUAAGAGUGAUAGUGAUUGGUGUAACGCUGUACUCUAUGUGAGAGUGAUAGUGUUUGGUGUAACGCUGUGCUCUACGUGAGUGAUAGUGUUUAUCUUUAUUUUAUUUAUUUAUUUUUUUUCCUGAAGACCAGUUCUGAGGUUAUCUGGAGGUUAAAGGAGAAGAGUUCUUCACACCUGUGUUUUUUCUUUUUAUUUAUUGGUCACUUUUUGUUUUUUGUUGUGAUUGUUAUUUAUUUAUUUUAUUUUUUUUUAUUGAAAUAUGUGAGUGCGAAUGCAGCACAAUAUAUAAAGGUGUGCAUUCCAGAGUGGAAGGAAGGCGUGCACAGGGUAGAGUGAACAGGAUGCAGUGCCUUUUUUUUAUCAUCAGACCCUGAUUGAUUGAAGCAAAUGAAAACUUUAGUGUGAGUACCUUACAAAGACACUUGACAAUACUAAUGUCACCUCACCUCGUGGUUUCACCUUAAACCUACAAACAUUGGCUGGACACAAGGUCAUAGAAAUAAUUUAUUCUCAUUUAUUCUCAUCUUUACAAAUUACAGUCUUUACACAUUAAAGUAACUAAUCACCUUUAUUCAUCCACUUGCGGGGGGUUGAAGGAUCGCUAAUCCCAUGUUAAAUUGCCUGUGUUCAACUCGCAUCUCCUCCCUCAUUUAUUGACCAAUUCAUUAAAAAAAUAUAUAUAUUUUUAUCAGGAAGGUUGGAAGAAGAAUGUCUGAUAUUUUUAUCAGGAAGGUUGGAAGAAGAAUGUCUGCUAUCUUUUUUUUUUUUUUUUUGUACGAUAAGAUUUUUUUUUUUCGAUGAAAAAGUAAAAAAAACUGUGUCAAAUAUUUACUUUCAAAUAUUUGUCAGAAAUCAAAAUCAGUUACAAACAAACAUGACGACAGCAGACUUUGUUCGCCUCUCACAGUUUGAUAAGCAGCAAUAGCCCAUCUAUGUGUAACAGCAAUAACAACGGAGAUAAUUUUUAUAUGCCAAAAUCCGCCAUUUUAAGUUAUGUCAAAGUUUAAGGGGUUGACUAUAAUUCACAUAUUGCAGCUAAGGACUUGAAAUUCACAUAUAUACAUCAGAAUAUGUUGAAAAAAGCAGACAUAGAUUAAUUUAGUUUAGUUACUCUGAUUGGUUUUGUACAAAGGCCUAAAGCGAUUCAUGAUUUCACCCUUAAUUACCGUGGGGGGGGGGGAAGGCGGGUGAAAAUAAUUUGUUAUAUUUCGACUUAUUUUUAGAUAAAAACCAGUGUUUAACUGUUUAAAUAUAAAUAAAAUAUUAAUGCAAAAGAUAUCUAAUGCAGACACAUUGAUUAUUUGCUAGAUUUACGGAAAAAUAAUUUUAUAUUUCGUUUAUAAAUAAAAAAAAACUAAAAUUUCGUGCUCUCUAGUGUUGUACGCAGCAAAAGAACCGUAGAUAUUCAUAGGAGACUGAAGAAGAACGGGUAUGUCCGAAAAAAAAAAAAAAAUCGGAAAAGAAAAAAAAUUGUCAUACAUGUCUCGCGGUGAAAACGUGGAAUUUCUUAACAGAAGACCUCUUUACAUAAGGGAUUUUUUUUUUUUUAUCAAAACGUUACAUAUAUCAAGUGGAAAAAAUGUAGAAAAUUACAAAAAAAAAAAAAAAAUAAAUUUCACGUCUGGAUUGUACAACACCCUUGAUGCAAAAAAUGUUUGCGCGCCUGACGUUGUUAACACACACGACACUCUUCCCUUGAGAAAAGAUGGUACCCUUCACGAGUGUCUUACUAUUUCUUUGCAGAGCCCCUCUUCUUGAUGACGACGCGUACACUGUCAGCUACACUUUGCAGCGUCUCUCACUUAAAUUUUUCUCAAUAUCUUUGUAUCUCCAUUUCAGAUAAAUUGUUCUUUUCCAAGGGUUGAGGAGAACAUGGUCGUGGUUCAAGUGAAGCCCCUACAGCCACUCCCUGACAAGUCUUCCACACUGACAGUGGCAGCAGACACAAUAGAGGAUGGUGUGGUGGACAAGAGGAUGCAGGGAGACGGCAGACAGAAUGGAAGCUACAGAUGAAAGAAGAGCAGGUCAAGCCAUGGCAGCAGACAGACAGAGAGACAGAUUGGAUAAGAAAGAAGUAUUAUUUAGUGAGACAGGCCCACUGGAAGCUGUCAGAGUGCUGUGGCACGUGGCAAGAACCAAGUGUUCAGGAGCACACACUGUCCCUUCACCAGUCAGCAGGUCUGGGCGGCUUGGAAGUCUCACUACAAACUGAAGACCCGUUCACUUGAAGGACACAGUUGGAGUCGUACACAAGAUCCAAGAGGGAGUCAUUUUAAAUGAGAGCUUCAGGCAGAAAAUUCGAGUGGAUUUUCAACUCUAAAAUUUUAAUUUUUUAUGUUUUGGAUAUUUUGAACCUUAUUUAUCUUGAAAAAUAACUCCAGAUAUUAUGACUCAAGCUGGAAGUUGACCUGAGCAAUGUAGGGUUUGCUGCAGUGAGAUUACCAAGGCAUGAGUGUCUGGCAUUUAAAGAUGAUGGAUAUGUAUCCUGUGUGCUGCUGUGCUGGGAGGAGAGGAGCAGCAGCAGUCGUGGGGCUCUGCUGCUGCUGUCACUGGUGCAGCUGUUCACUCCUGCAGCUACCUUCCCUCAACAUACUGUGUCUUCCCUCACUUGCAAUGAACAACUAUGAACAAUACUUCUCCUGCGAUGAGGAACAGUGAAUAACACUCUCUCUCUCUCUCUCUCUCUCUCUCUCUCUCUCUCUCUCUCUCUCUCUCUCUCUCCCCACAGUAUGUCCCCCACAGUAUGUUUACAAACCCACAGUUGCUCUCUCUACAAACCCACAGUUGCUCUCUCCACAGCCCCUCACCAACAAUUGUCUCCUUCACACACACACACACAAAUGUUAGAAUCUUGUAGUGUCUACAAUAAGGAAUGGAACCAAAAUCGACAAGCCAAAUUUUCUUCCAGCCUGCGUGAAUGUAGUGAGGUUCAAUGUGUGUGUACAAGUGAAGAGUAUAUAUUAGAUGCACGACUCAAAAAUAUGAGGCUUACACAAAAAUACAGGACACAACUUGAUGAGUGUGGUGAGUCAAGGGGGAGUCAAAAUGCUCAACUUUGAAGUAACUUACAACAAAAAGUAACUAAAUAAACACACUAUAAGAA